ACACGAGUGGCGCACGGGUGUGUAACGCGUGGGAACGUGCCCUUCAGUUUGGGAUAACACCGGGAAACUGGUGCUAAUACCAAAUAUUCCCUUUGGGGGAAAGAUUUAUCGCUGAAGGAUCGGCCCGCGUGAGAUUAGGUAGUUGGUGGGGUAAUGGCCUACCAAGCCUACGAUCUCUAGCUGGUCUGAGAGGAUGAUCAGCCACACUGGAACUGAGACACGGUCCAGACUCCUACGGGAGGCAGCAGUGGGGAAUAUUGGACAAUGGGCGAAAGCCUGAUCCAGCCAUGCCGCGUGAGUGAUGAAGGCCUUAGGGUUGUAAAGCUCUUUUGUCAGGGAAGAUAAUGACGGUACCUGAAGAAUAAGCACCGGCUAACUUCGUGCCAGCAGCCGCGGUAAUACGAAGGGUGCUAGCGUUGUUCGGAAUCACUGGGCGUAAAGCGCGCGUAGGCGGCGAUACAAGUCAGGGGUGAAAUCCUGGAGCUCAACUCCAGAAUUGCCUUUGAAACUGUAUUGCUAGAGUGUCGGAGGGGAUAGCGGAAUUGCUAAUGUAGAGGUGAAAUUCGUAGAUAUUAGCAGGAACACCGGUGGCGAAGGCGGCUAUCUGGACGACAACUGACGCUGAGGCGCGAAAGCGUGGGGAUCAAACAGGAUUAGAUACCCUGGUAGUCCACGCCGUAA
Molecule: ribosomal RNA, 681 nt
Filed under: uncultured bacterium
Lineage: Bacteria
Description: bacterial SSU rRNA
Rfam family: Bacterial small subunit ribosomal RNA
Source: RNAcentral